GAUGAACGCUAGCGGCAGGCCUAACACAUGCAAGUCGAGGGGUAGCAGGAUUAAGCUUGCUUAAUUGCUGACGACCGGCGCACGGGUGCGUAACGCGUAUGCAACCUACCUUAUACUGGGGUAUAGCCCGGAGAAAUUCGGAUUAAUCCCCCAUAGUACUAAUGAAUCGCAUGGUUUAUUAGUUAAAGCAUUGCGGUAUAAGAUGGGCAUUCGUACUAUUAGCAAGAUGGGGAGGACACGGCUACCCAUAGCUACGAUAGGUAGGGGGGCUGGGAGGGUGGGCCCCCACACUGGUACUGAGACACGGACCAGAAUCCUACGGGAGGCAGCAGUGAGGAAUAUUGGUCAAUGGGCGCAAGCCUGAACCAGCCAUGCCGCGUGCAGGAAGAAUGCCCUAUGGGUUGUAAACUGCUUUUAUUUGGGAAUAAACCUCUUUACGUGUAGAGAGCUGAAGGUACCAAAUGAAUAAGCACCGGCUAACUCCGUGCCAGCAGCCGCAGUAA
This 503-nucleotide ribosomal RNA is filed under the name uncultured bacterium. Its description in RNAcentral is "partial 16S ribosomal RNA". It matches the Rfam family "Bacterial small subunit ribosomal RNA", at positions 28 to 523 of the family's 1533-position model. The record is from RNAcentral.